Prinia subflava (tawny-flanked prinia) is the source of this 7450-nucleotide long non-coding RNA. RefSeq lists it as uncharacterized. The transcript is spliced from 10 exons. The record is from RefSeq and is a predicted model, not a curated record. Lineage: Eukaryota; Metazoa; Chordata; Aves; Passeriformes; Cisticolidae.
GGAAGGAAGGCACACCGGCAGCCUGAGGCGGCAGCGGCUUCAGCGAGGGCUCGUCCUUGGGGAAGGAGCCCCUCCGUACCGGGGCAGGACGGGGGGCCCCGUCAACGCCGCCAGGAAGCGACCCGGGAGGCGCCACCAGACUGCUCUGAGUUGUUAUGAAGGAGAAGUUGGUGUACAGAAGUUGGUGUCAGAAUAAACAUGAUAAAUAAAAAAUCAUUCUUUGCCAUAAAAUGUGUUCUAGGAAUCCUGCUAGCAUUCAUGGGAAUGACAUCAAAGUAAGCAGUAGAGCUGCUUGGAAAAUGGAGACAGUUUCUCUGGGGAAAUAAUGCUGCACUGGAAAAACAUGAAUAUUGUUGUCCAGGUGCUUGUGUCCAAAGCUAAGUGGCAAAAAGGCCUUGGAUAUUAUACCAAAAAUAGCUUCUCAUAUUUUUCACAGAAGAACAAGCAAUAUCUGGCACUGGCAACCCUGGCCAAAACUUCUGCUGAUCUCCCGUGGCUGAGAGCCCUCACUCUUCAUGGGUUGACCGUGGUCACAAAGAAGAUUGGUCUCUCUCUGUACGUUACUGCUCUGUGUCACCUUCGGCUGUUCCAGUAAGAUGAUGUGCCUUUGUGCUCAAGUUCAUAAAGCCUGGAGUAAAGAACUGAAAUCCUGAGGCAGCAGAUAAACACCCAGAGAGGGCCCUGGGGCAUUCCACAGUAAUCCAUAGCUGGAGUCAGAGCUGCCCAGACACCAGAGGACACCUGUCGAUGCGUGCAGCCUCUCCAGCCCGGCUGCUGCCUGCGCUCCCUUUGGAGUCAAGCGCCACCUCACCCUUCCUUGCAGUGCAGCAUAUAGAAGAUGUCUCUUGACCCUCCCUGGCCUGGAAGACCACAGGACUCCAUAAAAACAGCAGUGAGUCAAUCUCAGAUGCAGAAUUAAGUAAUUGGCAGUGAGAAUAGGUAGUGCUGAUGUAGAAGGAGGGAUGUUCUCUCAAUCACACCCUUCAUCUUGCUUGUCUAUACUUACUGAGUAUUGAUCUUGUGAGAAUCCAUCUAUUUCCCAUGGGAUAUUAUAUUCCCUAUUUCUCAUACUGCUUCUAAUAUUCCAUUAUUAAAGCAUAUUAAAAUAUUUUAUUUCUGAAAUAUUUUAGUCAUUGAAGUCUUGCCUUUGAGCUGUUUAAGUUGGCUGAAGGGGCAGCUGAAGUAACCUACGUGCAAUUAAAUAGUUAACAUAGUUCAUACCAUAAGACAAAUAUCAAAAGAUCUUACAUUUUUUCCUAUUCUACCUGGAUGGAAGAAGGAUUUUUGUAAUGCUUUCAGAGAGGAAUGCUAGAAAACAUGUUGAGAACCCAAAGAAUAUUGACAGUGAUAAAAUAUCAUUCCUAAUAACAAUAACCAAAAGACAAUUACUGUAUAUGUUCCCCUAUCUGUGAAUCAGAGCAGCUAAAUGAUGCACAAUAUGUCUUAGGCUAUUAACAGGUAUUCUCUUUACCACAACUAAUUAAUUAGGAGAAUUACAUUCUAAGUAAGGGGAGCUGAGAUUUGUUACUUUGUUGUUUCUGUAAAGUUAUAGGCAACAGUAAAUCUAUGAUAGCUGUGAGGUUGUUGUUUUUAUUACAAUAUUUAUAUCUCUUAUUACUUUUUAAAUCUGUGAUGGCAUAAAAAAUCGUAAAUGCCUCUAGAAGGACUCACAUUAUAAAUAUGUAAUGACAUUCUAGACAUUUUGGUUUCCAAGUAACUUCUCUAUUUUUGCUCCUCUUUAAUUUCUUUUGCUUCCUUUACAAUGAGCAACAUUUUAGCAACACAGAGAAGGAAACAUGCAAAAAGUACUUCAAUUUGAACAGAGGCAAAACACAAGGAUUUUAUGUGACUCAGUGAAGCCUCUUUCCAUAUCAAAUCUUUGACUCUGUUACUCUCUAAAAGAAAAGUCUGCUCCUUGAAACUGGAAGAAUUAGGUGAUGUGAACAUGGAUGAGCUGAUCGACACAAGCAAGUUGUGCGAUUUUGUACAGAGAAAAAUAAAAUUGACGACAGCACUUUAGUAUCUGCAUUGACCUCCAUGAUGUCAGAAUGUCAUUGUGCAACCGUAGCUAAGAAAAGCCGCCGAGAAAAAAAAAAAACAAAGGAGCUUUGCGUCUUCCAAUAACAUGAGAUGUGCAUAUACAAAAGCACAGCAAUUGCAUCCAGGAUUUAAUAUGUGCGACGUGAAAUCUUUCUGCAUCGAGAGGAUGUUGCUGUAGUGGAUGCAGUGUUUCUCCAAUGAGCAAGAAGACUGUUUUGUUUUCCUCGGCAGGCGACUCAGCCAUUGCACAAGGAGAUUUUGAUAAGAGUUUGAAAUGCCUACCACUGUAUCGUUGUAGAAUUUGGAGUUUGCUAACGGUGUUAGUGACUGGAGCUCAUCUUGCAUCACCAGUUGAUGACAAUUUUCUUUGUUCCCUCCCACCCAGUUGAACCAAGACUCUGUAGCAGAUACGCAAUGUCACUUACAACAUUAAUCAGAUACUGCAUUUAAGGUGAGCUGUCCCCUGCCUCCUCCCUUACCAGAGCUGUGCUGCAGUAUGUAUCUUACUCCUGCAAGCCUAAAAUGGCAGGCAGGAUUAACGUUGCUUGUGCUGUGUGCAUGCUGUGUAUUGAAUUCAUUAUACUGUGCCUAGUAUCUCAAAUGUGAGUAUGUAAAUGGUCUGUGUGCCAUGUCAUGCAGUAGUGAAGACUGGUUUGUGCUUGUACAGGCUUAGAUAUUUGAGCAUCACCUUAAAAAUUCUUUUUUCAUUUGCAAUGUGGUGAGCUGUUAGCUUGUCAUCACAUGCAAACUACAUUAUUAGCCCUCGGAAAGGAAAAAAAAAAGCAAACUGUGCUUCCAGAUGGUGUCACCCUUUUUCUUCUUGCAUUUACUGUAGUUUAAAUAAUGUAUAUUGUAUUGUUAAUUAAUGUGAAUAUCGAAUUAAAGCACUUGAAACUUACAUAUUUAUUAUGCAGGUAGGAGGCACGUCGAAUCUAUUUUUAACUCUUACGCAGUCCAUGUUGUGCAAUGGGCUUUGGUUGUCGAGUUUAUAUUUUCAGCUGUGAUAUCAAUAGGUUGAUUUUCAGUAAAUGUGACAAGUGGCCUUUGCAGUGGUCAGCUUCAAGCUUUGAAGCCUCUGAGGAGGAGAAAAAAAAAAAAAGCCAACCUUGUUUUGCAGUUUCGGAAAACCUUGGACUUUUUUUUCCCACUCCUGCUUUCCCUGUUGAUAAACUCAGUUCUCCUGCUCACGGUCUAUUCAAGCUGCUUCCCAUUUGAAUUUUGACAACUGCUUCUAAAAAAUUAUCAAGAAGAGCAAGAUCAGAACUUAUCUCCAUCGCUUUACAUAAAAAUGGCUGGGUGCAUUGCCAUGUUAACACUGCUCUAAGUGGUACAUGCAGGUAGGUUGAGAUUUGCAUGUUUUACUGUUUUCUUGGUCAGUGUUGCAAGAACAUGAAAUGAGCUUUGGAAUGUAGCUUUCAGUUUUAAAAUGUACUAAACUGUUAAUGAAAACAACCUAUAUUAAAUUGUUGGCUUCACAUAUUGGUAUGACAAUUACUCUUAUCUGGGUUUUUUUUUAAUCUGUUGUGAAAGUGGAGCAAUCAUGCCUGUUAAAAUAAUCAUAUGUACUAAGGGCGUGGCAACGCUUAUGCAACAAAAGAAUUUUUGAAAACCCUAUUGAUUCCAUUACAUUUUAAAGCUGACUGUAACCAUUACUAAACUUGCAGCUGAAAGGCAGAAAUAAAAAUUGAGGAAGAUUAGAAAAAAGAAAAAUAUUUAAAUUCUGUCGUAAGCGGUUUUGUGUUUUGUGCGAAAUAUUAAAUAAAGAAUAAUAUGCUUUAAUGCUUAUAUUUUCAGUAUUGGCUACAAACAUAAAACUGCAGUAUUUUUUGUUAUUUAAAGGUAGGAGAACUUUAAAGAGAGAGAUUGAUAUAAAUGGCCCUGUCAGCUUAAACUGAGUAUCAGUUCACUGAAAUGUGUUUUACUUCACACAAAAAAAACUUAACAGCCUUAGUACAAAAACCUGAAUUUGAGCAUAAGGAAUAACAAUAAUUAUGAGUACUGUAUUACUUACACUAACUUUUAUAAUAAAUUUCUUUCAGAUUAAUAUUGGGCCAGAACCAGUUUCCUUGGCAACCAAAUCCUUUAGAAAGGUUCAAUUGUAGAGAUGUAGAAAGAUGUUGUUCUCUUUAACAGCAAUAUCACAAUGCAAAUGGAAAUGUCACGGUAGUUUCCUCUUAGUUCUAACUGAGAAUGUGAUCUCACUUUAUGUUUCCAUGUGGCUAUCAGUUCUUAAACGAUGCCAUGUUUAUAAAGCUGUACACACAAAAACCUGUUUUAUUUCUGGUUUGCAUUCGUUGUUCCCAGAAACGUACCCUGGUUUCUUUUUUAAUUUAGCCCAGUCUUGCAUGUAGGUCAAGGUUUGUACUGUGUGUAAUAGUUUUAUUAUCAUCACAAGUAUAAAAAUAUCACAAAAACAUUUAGCAGCUGACAAAUGUAGAGAAUCAGAAGGUUUAAACCUUCUUUAAACUUUGCUGAAUUCGGCCACAGUAAUGCUAAUAAACCUUUCUCUAAAUAGUGGACCCAUUCUGAAGUUCAGGUAAAGAACUGUGUUUAAGCAUACUGCAAAAGAACUCCUUUCAGACCUUAAACAAGCCUUUAGAGAAUAAGCUCACUUGUGGUCUGCGGUAAUUUGCAGACCUUAUAGAUUUGGCAAAAUUUUAGUAUUAUAAUUUUUUUUCUAUUUUUAGCUAAUAUGUUUUACAGUGCCAGUAAAGUUAAUGUAUACCACAGGUAACUACCUCCACAGGUCAGGUGUUACUGAAUGUCUCCACUGAGCUUACAACGUAGUGUAGCUUCUCCUCGCUGCCCUUUGUACGUGACUUGAGAAAUUCUCACUACUGCAAUGAGACUUUUGCAGCAGGGAAGCCAUUUUCCUUUCAUGUCCUUGACUUUAAAAUGACUGAGUAUAUUUUGUGUGGAAGAAGACUCAGCACUGAAAGUGAAUGCAGAGGAGGAAUUUAGAAGCACAGCCAAUUAUCAGUAAUAGCCUUGACAGUAUGAGUAAUAUUAAACUAAUUCUCGUUUACUUCUAAAUAUACCAGUUCAGUGCAUUCCGAAUGAGCAGAGUAUAACUGCUCAGGAAUAUGACUUGUCAUGUGUUGUAAUAGGCAAAUCCUUAAUGAUGACAAUAAAACCAUUUGAUGCAUAAUUAUAAGAAAAAUUUAGUGCACUCCAGUAUUCCUCUGUUCCACCUAAAGCAGCAGAACUGAAAAUGUAACACAGAGCAUAUCUCAAGUGACGUAUUAAAGCCUGCAUUUUUUGUAAUUUGAUUUCUCUCCAGUAGCUUGCGUCUGCUGAUUAUUUUCCUGACUAAAAUGUUAAUAUGGAGGGAACCAUUAAAUGAAGUAAGAAAGUACAUUUCUUUGUUUAUUUCUUGUGUGGUUAUUUUUAAAGGAAAUGCCAAGCAAAUGAUAUGUCGAAUCUAUUUAUUGCCUCUGAUACUUAUCUUUAGAAAAGAUGGGGCACUUAGCAAUAAACUGUUUUAUUAUAUCUUUGUGUUUAAACAUGCCCACUCAAGGCAUUUUUUAAAAGUAGCUCCAUUACACGAGCACAUUUCCCUAUGGUUGUUUUAAAUCCAUUUGCAGAUUUGCUCUUUGUUAAGGGGUGCAAGUCUUCUUGUAAUGAAUAUGACUGAACUCAAGUGCUUUUUUGAGUCUGAAAAAACUCAUUGGCAGCCUGCAAAUGUUAAUUUCUUCUACCGAAAGAAAUGAAUUUCUUUAUUUAGGAGGAGUCCAGUAAUUAGCAAGCUGUUUCCAGUUUGACUGUCACACGUGGCUUGCUGUAUGUAUUUCAGUGGUACUUACAUCCAGCUAAUGCAGGGUGUCACAAUGUUGGAGCCAGAGGUGCCAUAAAAAAAUCUUCUGUAAACUUCAUCCCUUUUUUUCCUUUGGCUGAGGGGUCUAACCAGGGCAUGGAGGAGCAGGUGCAGUUUUUCCCACCUCCAGCACAGCCUGCAAAUGUCAGGGGGGGCUGUUAAGGUUUUGGGGUUUAUUUUGUUGUGGGUUGGGGUGGAGUGGGUCAGUUUUAUCAUAGAAGUCUAAUUGUUGAUACUGAACCAGCCUUUUUUUUUAAUUGGAAUUGGUUCUUUUAUCCAUGCAAAUUCCAUUUCUGCCUAACAGAAAAUCUAAACAAAGCAUGAGUAAAAAUUAAAUCAAACCAAAAAAUUAUUCACUUGGACACCGUUCUACUUGUUUUUCAAUGGUCUUUCUAAUUAAAGUUACUUCUGCCUCUAAACUUCAUUUUGAUUUGAAACUGCAGGUCUCUCAGUGGGAAAUUAGCUGUGUUCAGAUAAUAUUUGUCAGACUAUUAAACAGAUUCUGGUAGUAAUGAAUAGGUACCAAUUAACCCUUUUGAGGUAUCUAGUGUCUGUUUUGCUUUAUCACAUAAAUUGCUUUACUAAGUAUUAAAAGGGCUUUAUUAUGGAUGAUACUGUACUUGAAUUCCAGUAUUACCAAAUUUCGGAAAUCUUUAGUUUUGGUAAGAUCUUUUACUAUUGGAUUCCUCCAAACAUGAGGAAUUCCUCCAAAGAUUCCCAUUUAUCAUAUUUUGGUCAUUUAUAAAUAUGCCUUUAUUGGAAUGUGAGUAAUAAUAAUGACUUCUUGCAAUUUUCUUUCAUUCUGGCCUUUGUUAAGGGCAGAUGUGAGCUACAGAUUUCUUAUUCAAAUUAACAUAGACUAAAACCCUACAAGGCUAUACCAAAACAACAAAAAUUAGCUCACCUUCUUACCUUUUCAAGCUAAAGUAAGGGAUCCUGUAUUUCCUGUGCAAUGUUAUUGCUAAGAGCAAUAUUUAGAAAUGGAGGAUGGAGCUGUGUAUUCCUAAUUGCUGCUCCAUGCUUGCUGCUGUAUGAAUGCCUAUCAGCUGAGUCAUAAGGCCUUAUCUGCAUGAUUUUGCAAUUUCUCUAUGGAACAAUUUCAUUUUUUUCAGUAUCUCCGAAACAAAACCCGGUUCCGCAUAAUUUUUGUACUGUUACAGGAAAACCUUUUUAGGGUGUUUGAUACAUAAUAAUAAAAUUAGGAUGUUUGACAGUGAUGAAUAAUCGCUUAAGCAGAGAAAUACAGGAAGUGUAUUCCAGAGAACAAGAGCUGCCUAGAAAUGUCAUUAUCACAGAUACUGUGAUGAUAUCUGUGACAAGAGAGAUCAAAAGAAAAGUGGUGGAAGAUAAAGAGGAGAAAGAAAAUGUCUUUCAAAAUAAUUACUUUAAACUUGAAAACAUCCUUACAUUUAUGUCUAGAACAUAUCAUUAUGUCCAGUCUGCACUACACAGGUUAAAUCAUAAUAAAACAAUUCAGCAGAAGUUUGGUUAAUGCUACUGGUUUAUUGCUGGCAUGUUCUAAAAUUCCCAGAUGUAGAUUUGGAGCCCUACAGCACCCCAGGGAAAAUUUUGAUGAAUUACGCAAUGUAUGUGGAA